Suricata suricatta (meerkat) is the source of this 307-nucleotide long non-coding RNA. RefSeq lists it as uncharacterized. The record is from RefSeq and is a predicted model, not a curated record. Lineage: Eukaryota; Metazoa; Chordata; Mammalia; Carnivora; Herpestidae. The transcript has 2 exons.
UAAAACCACUACUAGUUUGGUCAACAGAGGACUUGCCAACUCUGUGUCAGCUCAGAGAUUCUAUCUCUAUGCAGACUUUGUCUGCAUAUUAAUGCAUCAUGAUGUAAACAAAUACUGUGAAUCAGGAAAAUGACCAGUUCUCUCGCUUCGACCCUCUUCCUGGGAAGGCACUUCUGUGUCAGGAUGAAUGUGGGACAUUCAUGGAUGAGACCUUCUCCGCCAGCAAGUUUGAUCUUUGGGGGAGUUAGCACACCCCAACAGAGCACAUCUGUUGCUGGUUUACCCAGUUAACAUGAUUACAAAUGUG